This is a long non-coding RNA of Triticum dicoccoides, 1386 nucleotides long. RefSeq lists it as uncharacterized. Lineage: Eukaryota; Viridiplantae; Streptophyta; Magnoliopsida; Poales; Poaceae. The transcript has 7 exons. The record is from RefSeq and is a predicted model, not a curated record.
UGUCAAGCUAAGGUAGUAGUAGCUAGGACUAGGAGAGAUGGAAAGGGAGAAGAUGGAGAGGGGCAAGUCUGAGCUGAGGAUGGCCAUCGACGACCUCUGCUUGCCCAGCUCAGGAGAUGGUGAAUAUCAGGAGCAGCAGGGGAAAGUUAGGAGGCCAUCCACCAUGGAUCUCCUCUGUGUCUCCAACCAGCUUCUACGUGUCCUUGAUGGAUUGGGCCAACGCUUCUAGUCCUCAGACAAGACAUUAAGCAAAAUGUUGAGACAAUACAAUAUCUCCAUGCAAGAGACUCUUUGAAGUAUGCGAGCUUGACGGCGAUCGUGAUAGAGGAAGUGGAGGAAGGGACCUCGAAGAAGGCCCACAGUUGUACCAGGGCAAUUAUCUGGCUGGCUAGGUCGGUGGAUUUCUCGAUAUGUUUGCUGGAGAGAUUAGUGAAGAACCCAGAGUCAAGCCUGCAAGAGAUGGUGGAAGAAGCAUAUGAGAGCACCCUGAAGCCAUUCCAUGGAUGGAUCUCAUCAGCUGCUUACAGGGUAUGGCCACUUUGAUCAGCUGUCCAUCAUCAUGGCUGCUACAUAUUUUACAUGACCGUAUAAGCUACUCCCUCCGUUCACUUUUGUAAGUCAUUUCAGAUAACUCAAAAUGGGCUAUUUUGUACAUUGUCUGAAAUGUCUUCAAGGUCUUAUAAAAAUGAACAGAGGAAGUAACAAUUUUCUGAAGAUUGUUCCAGCGAUAAAUCUAGUACUCCCUCUUUUUUCACUGUAUGCUUUGUUUUUCGCCGUCAAAGAUGCGAUUGGGCCAACGCUUCUAGUCCUCAGGCAAGACAUUCAGCAAAAUGUUCAGCGAAGCGAUCACAGUUAUCUAUCUUUCCUUAUGCAGAGAUUACAGGAUCUCCAUGCAAGAGACACCUCGAAAUACGCGGGCUUGAUGGAGAUCGUGAUGGAAGAAAUGGAGGAAGGGACCUCAAAGAAGACCAACAGUUGUACAAGGGCAAUUAUCUGGCUGGCUAGGUCGGUGAAUUUCUCGAUAUGUUUGCUGGAGUGAUUAGUGAAGAACCCAGAGUCAAGCCUGCAAGAGAUGGUGGAAGAAGCAUACGAGAGCACCCUGAAGCCAUUCCAUGGAUGGAUCUCAUCAGCUGCUUACAGGGUAGCAUUGCGACUCAUUCCAGAGAGAGACAUCUUCAUUGAGUUGCUAAUGGGGAACUGCCAGAAUACCGGGGAUUUUGGGGAAGAUGUCAUGAUCUUGGUCUCCAUUGUACAGCCUCUGCUAGAGGAGAUCAAUGUCAUCUACAGAUGUCUGCGUUGUAUUUGUUGUUGUACCUGUAGUUUAAUAGCCGGUUGGAUGUAUCGUGUCAGAGGACUUAAAAUAACUGAAGCACAAUGCAUCUCUUG